This 351-nucleotide RNase P RNA is filed under the name Peptacetobacter hominis. Its description in RNAcentral is "Bacterial RNase P class A". It matches the Rfam family "Bacterial RNase P class A". From Rfam's summary of the family: Ribonuclease P (RNase P) is a ubiquitous endoribonuclease, found in archaea, bacteria and eukarya as well as chloroplasts and mitochondria. Its best characterised activity is the generation of mature 5'-ends of tRNAs by cleaving the 5'-leader elements of precursor-tRNAs. Lineage: Bacteria; Bacillati; Bacillota; Clostridia; Peptostreptococcales; Peptostreptococcaceae. The record is from Rfam by way of RNAcentral.
CAAGUAAGCCAGAUAAUCGCGGGCAGCAGGGAUGCUGCGUGAGGAAAGUCGGAGCUCCACAGAGCAGGGUGCUAGGUAACGCCUAGUGAGAGUGAUCUUAAGGAUAGUGCAACAGAAAUAAACCGCCUCUUAAUGCGCGCAAUGAGGUAAGGAUGGAAAGGCGAGGUAAGAGCUCACCAGCGGCCAGGUGACUGGUCGGCUAUGUAAACCCCACCUGGAGCAAGACCAAAAUAGGGCUAAAGAGUGUUGCUCGCACUCUCCGGUUGGUAGGUCGCUUGAGCUUACUGGUGACAGUAAGCCUAGAAAGAUGAUUAUCUAAUACAGAACUCCGCUUAUAGACUUGCUUGAUUU